RNAcentral lists this ribosomal RNA (598 nucleotides) under Bacillus sp. CH170a_5R. Its description in RNAcentral is "bacterial SSU rRNA". It matches the Rfam family "Bacterial small subunit ribosomal RNA", at positions 50 to 632 of the family's 1533-position model. The record is from RNAcentral. Lineage: Bacteria; Bacillati; Bacillota; Bacilli; Caryophanales; Bacillaceae.
UAUACAUGCAGUCGAGCGGACGGAUGGGAGCUUGCUCCCUGAAGUCAGCGGCGGACGGGUGAGUAACACGUGGGCAACCUGCCUGUAAGACUGGGAUAACUUCGGGAAACCGGAGCUAAUACCGGAUAAUGCAUAUCCUCUCAUGAGGAUAUGCUGAAAGAUGGUUUCGGCUAUCACUUACAGAUGGGCCCGCGGCGCAUUAGCUAGUUGGUGAGGUAACGGCUCACCAAGGCAACGAUGCGUAGCCGACCUGAGAGGGUGAUCGGCCACACUGGGACUGAGACACGGCCCAGACUCCUACGGGAGGCAGCAGUAGGGAAUCUUCCGCAAUGGACGAAAGUCUGACGGAGCAACGCCGCGUGAGUGAUGAAGGUUUUCGGAUCGUAAAACUCUGUUGUCAGGGAAGAACAAGUGCCGGAGUAACUGCCGGCACCUUGACGGUACCUGACCAGAAAGCCACGGCUAACUACGUGCCAGCAGCCGCGGUAAUACGUAGGUGGCAAGCGUUGUCCGGAAUUAUUGGGCGUAAAGCGCGCGCAGGCGGUCUCUUAAGUCUGAUGUGAAAGCCCACGGCUCAACCGUGGAGGGUCAUUGGAAA